This 254-nucleotide ribosomal RNA is filed under the name Streptomyces albidoflavus. RNAcentral's name for it is "partial 16S ribosomal RNA". It matches the Rfam family "Bacterial small subunit ribosomal RNA", at positions 1 to 255 of the family's 1533-position model. Lineage: Bacteria; Bacillati; Actinomycetota; Actinomycetes; Kitasatosporales; Streptomycetaceae. The record is from RNAcentral.
CAUUCACGGAGAGUUUGAUCCCGGCUCAGGACGAACGCUGGCGGCGUGCUUAACACAUGCAAGUCGAACGAUGACCCGCUGUCGGGCGGGGAUUAGUGGCGAACGGGUGAGUAACACGUGGGCAAUCUGCCCUGCACUCUGGGACAAGCCCUGGAAACGGGGUCUAAUACCGGAUAUGACUAUCUGCCGCAUGGUGGAUGGUGUAAAGCUCCGGCGGUGCAGGAUGAGCCCGCGGCCUAUCAGCUUGUUGGUGA